UACGAAGGGGGCUAGCGUUGCUCGGAAUGACUGGGCGUAAAGGGCGCGUAGGCGGAUGGCACAGUCAGAUGUGAAAUUCCUGGGCUUAACCUGGGGGCUGCAUUUGAUACGUGUUGUCUAGAGCGAGGAAGAGGGUUGUGGAAUUCCCAGUGUAGAGGUGAAAUUCGUAGAUAUUGGGAAGAACACCGGUGGCGAAGGCGGCAACCUGGUCCUUGACUGACGCUGAGGCGCGAAAGCGUGGGGAGCAAACAGG
RNAcentral lists this ribosomal RNA (253 nucleotides) under uncultured bacterium. RNAcentral's name for it is "partial 16S ribosomal RNA". It matches the Rfam family "Bacterial small subunit ribosomal RNA", at positions 524 to 776 of the family's 1533-position model. The record is from RNAcentral.